UAAAUUAGUUGAAUAUUUUUGAUUGUUUUAAUUUACACCCAACGAACCGUAAAAACGCUAAAAUAAUAAAAUUUACAUCCUCUAUAUCUAUAGUAUAUUUAUAUCUUGGCUAUUAUCUUCAUCAAGAAUAUGUUGACGAUUAUUUAGGAUCUGUACCGCAUUACUAGAAGGUAGUAUCCAUAUAUAGUAAAAAAAUUAUAUGCUAUAUUACCUUACUAUUAAGGCCUAUUUUAGUGGCUGAUACACUAAAGGUGGGCAGCCUUAGGAUUUCAAUGCUAAUGUUUCAAUUAUUUUUAGUAAAAACAAGUAUAUUUUCAAAAGCAAUAAAACUAUCCCCAUCACAAUAUAAAUAUAUCACAUUUUUUUUUGGACUAAAGCGGCCUACAGACGAUCAAUAUUAUUGCGCAAAAUAUUGCACAAUAAUAUUGCUAGUCGUUCUCAAACAGUGCAAUAUAUUUGUGUAAUAACUAUAUUCAAUAUAUGGCGCAAUAAUUAGUUUUGUUUUCCACUUUGUAGGUAAGAUAUGUAAGAAAAAUGAAUAAGAAAAAAGUGCUAUUGCCAUUGUUUUGGCAACAUGUUUGAAAAGGAAAAAAAAGCCUAGAAGUAAAUGGAUGAAAGAAUGGUUUAAGAAAAGGAACCAGUUUAGUCAUGAAUGUCUAUUAAGGAAAUUAAAAGUUAGUGACCCUGCUGAUUUUAAAAACUUUCUACGAAUGGAUUAUACAACAUUUAGUGAAUUAUUAAAAAUGGUUACACCUGAAAUAGAAAAAAUGAAUACCACUAUGAGAGAUGCUAUUCCUGCUAGUCAGCGACUGUCAAUCACACUGCGAUAUUUAGCUACAGGCAACAGUUUUCAAGAUUUAAAAUUCACCAGUGCCAUAUCUCCACAAUCCAUAGGUGAAAUUGUUAUGGAAACUUGUGCAGCUAUAAUUUACAAGCUAAAGGAUAAUAUAAAGAUUCCAGAGACAGAAGAAGAAUGGAAGGCUGUUGCGAGAGGAUUUGAAAAUCAAUGGAAUUUUCCGAAUUGUUUGGGGGCAGUAGAUGGGGAACACGUGUCCAUUAAGCAACCACCCCACAGCGGUUCAUACUAUUAUAACUAUAAAAAAUUUUUUAGUACACAUCGUGUGUUGUUAAUUCAAAUUAUGAAUUUUUAAUGGUCGAUGCUGGAAUUAAUGGACGAAUAUCUGAUGGAGGUGUUUUGAGUGCCACUGCAUUUGGCAGAGCCUUAUCGGAUAACAAACUUAAAAUUCCAGAACCUACUGUAUUAGAGAAUAGUGAUAAAACAUUGCCCUUUGUUUUCAUAGGUGAUAAUGCUUUCGCAUUAACAAAAAAUUUUAUGAAACCUUAUGCACAAACUGGAUUAACUGCAGAACAACGGAUAUUUAAUUACCGCCUAAGUCGUGCUCUGUAUUUGGCGUGUUUCAACGACCUAAUGCGCUAAGCCCUGAAAAAGCUCGGAUAAUUACUUUAGCGUGUUGCUAUUUACAUAAUUAUUUAAGAAGGAAACAAUCAAAUACAUACAUUGAUAAAACUACCAUCGAUAUUGAAGAUCAGAAGUCGGGUAAAAUUAUUUAAGGCGCAUGGAGAGUCACUGCACCAACAACAUUAUUGCAGACACCCCCUCCCGGAAUUCAACUGUGUACGCAAAAUAUGUCAGGGAUAAUAAUUAUUGCCACUAUUUUAAUAAUGAAGGCCAAGUUGCAUGGCAAAAUAAAUUUGCAUAGUACAUAAAAGGCAUUUAAAUAUAUAUAUUUUAAGUA
Anthonomus grandis grandis is the source of this 1757-nucleotide long non-coding RNA. RefSeq lists it as uncharacterized. The transcript is spliced from 2 exons. The record is from RefSeq and is a predicted model, not a curated record. Lineage: Eukaryota; Metazoa; Arthropoda; Insecta; Coleoptera; Curculionidae.